This 253-nucleotide ribosomal RNA is filed under the name uncultured bacterium. Its description in RNAcentral is "partial 16S ribosomal RNA". It matches the Rfam family "Bacterial small subunit ribosomal RNA", at positions 524 to 776 of the family's 1533-position model. The record is from RNAcentral.
UACGGAGGAUGCAAGCGUUAUCCGGAAUGAUUGGGCGUAAAGCGUCCGCAGGUGGCUGUGUAAGUCUGCUGUUAAAGAGUCUAGCUCAACUAGAUACAAGCAGUGGAAACUACACGGCUAGAGUACGUUCGGGGCAGAGGGAAUUCCCGGUGUAGCGGUGAAAUGCGUAGAGAUCAGGAAGAACACCGGUGGCGAAGGCGGAUCUCUGGGCCUGAUCUGACGCUGAGGCGCGAAAGCUAGGGGAGCAAACAGG